This 22-nucleotide microRNA is filed under the name Oreochromis niloticus (Nile tilapia). Its description in RNAcentral is "oni-miR-10601". The record is from miRBase by way of RNAcentral. Lineage: Eukaryota; Metazoa; Chordata; Actinopteri; Cichliformes; Cichlidae.
AUCCAGACUGACAUCUCCUCAC